AUACGGAGGAUGCAAGCGUUAUCCGGAUUUAUUGGGUUUAAAGGGUGCGUAGGCGGUUUGCUAAGCGGGAGGUGAAAUGCCGGCGCUCAACGUCGGAAGUGCCUCCCGAACUGGUGGACUGGAAUGACUCUGCCGUGGGAGGAAUGUGUAGUGUAGCGGUGAAAAGCUUAGAGAUUACACAGAACACCGAUUGCGAAGGCAUCUCACGAAGUGUUGAUUGACGCUGAGGCACGAAAGCGUGGGGAUCAAACAGGAUUAGAUACCCUGGUAGUCCACACUGUAAACGAUGAUAACUCGCUGUCGGCGAUAUACAGUCGGUGGCCAAGCGAAAGCGAUAAGUUAUCCACCUGGGGAGUACGACCGCAAGGUUGAAACUCAAAGGAAUUGACGGGG
RNAcentral lists this ribosomal RNA (393 nucleotides) under uncultured bacterium. RNAcentral's name for it is "partial 16S ribosomal RNA". It matches the Rfam family "Bacterial small subunit ribosomal RNA", at positions 523 to 918 of the family's 1533-position model. The record is from RNAcentral.